Molecule: ribosomal RNA, 410 nt
Filed under: uncultured bacterium
Lineage: Bacteria
Description: bacterial SSU rRNA
Rfam family: Bacterial small subunit ribosomal RNA
Source: RNAcentral
AAUGGACGAAAGUCUGACCGAGCAACGCCGCGUGAGUGAAGAAGGUUUUCGGAUCGUAAAACUCUGUUGUUAGAGAAGAACAAGGAUGAGAGUAACUGUUCAUCCCUUGACGGUAUCUAACCAGAAAGCCACGGCUAACUACGUGCCAGCAGCCGCGGUAAUACGUAGGUGGCAAGCGUUGUCCGGAUUUAUUGGGCGUAAAGCGAGCGCAGGCGGUUUCUUAAGUCUGAUGUGAAAGCCCCCGGCUCAACCGGGGAGGGUCAUUGGAAACUGGGAGACUUGAGUGCAGAAGAGGAGAGUGGAAUUCCAUGUGUAGCGGUGAAAUGCGUAGAUAUAUGGAGGAACACCAGUGGCGAAGGCGGCUCUCUGGUCUGUAACUGACGCUGAGGCUCGAAAGCGUGGGGAGCAAA